UACAGAGGGUGCGAGUGUUGUCCGGAAUCACUGGGCGUAAAGGGCGCGUAGGCGGCUUUGCAAGUCGGGUGUGAAAGCCCUCGGCUCAACCGAGGAAGUGCGCCCGAAACUGCAGAGCUUGAGUACCGGAGAGGAUGGCGGAAUUCCCCAAGUAGAGGUGAAAUUCGUAGAUAUGGGGAGGAACACCGGUGGCGAAGGCGGCGCUCUGGAACAUUUCUGACGCUGAGGCUCGAAAGCGUGGGGAGCAAACAGG
RNAcentral lists this ribosomal RNA (253 nucleotides) under uncultured bacterium. Its description in RNAcentral is "partial 16S ribosomal RNA". It matches the Rfam family "Bacterial small subunit ribosomal RNA", at positions 524 to 776 of the family's 1533-position model. The record is from RNAcentral.